UAUGCACCAUUACAAUAAGCACAAUGAACAUUGGCUUGUUGGUAGAAACUACGUGGAUCAUCUUGAGGUAGGGCUUUCAUAAGGCCAAUGGCUUUCUCAUACUUGGCUAUAUAGUCUUUAUUGACCAAAUUUGCAGCUGGUCUAACCUUCAAGGGUUGUUUAGUGGAAGGGAAUUUGAAGUCUAUGAUGUUUUCAGAAGGUGGUGGACAACAAUUGAUGGGUUUUGCACCAGCGGGAAUAUCCGCUGGACCACACUUGGUUGUGUCCGGUGGUGAUAUUGGAGCAGCAAAGGCGAAAGGGUUGUUGCUAAGAGUGGCAGCACCACAAAGUCCUCCAAGUCCAAUAAGAACAUUCCUCCUAUGCCCUACAAUAUGUGCUGGUUCUCCCUCAGAGUUUGGUCUAGGUUUGUUUUGGUUAGCACAACAUGCUACUUUAGAAACCUUUUGGUUUCUUAGGUUUCUAUGUUUAAAGGUUUGGUAAUGUUUUCUAGACAAUGGAUACAAAGAAGAAGGUGAAGUGGUUGUGGAAAUGGAAGAGACAUUGGAAGUGGACAAGAACAAAGGAAGUGGGAUAGAUGCCAUGUUUAGGUAGGUAUGUUGUUUUGUAUCUUGAAGAUUUAUUAUACUUUUCAAUCCAUUUAUAGUAAAUUGCUGAAGACUUUUCAUACAAUUUCGGUGAGGUUGUAGAUUACAUCUACCAACCUAACUUUUGAUAACGUCUAAUUUUUAAUACAAAAUAUAUUAGGAAGAGAAUUUGUUGUCCUAAAAUUUGUCUUUAACCAAUUACAAUAACGUAAAAAUUGAUAAAGUUAAAAAUACUUAAUUUUUUUAACUGAUAUAUCAUAAUAUGAUUAGUUUGGAACAUAUUUUAAGAUAACAAAUCUUUGUUCAAUAUAUUAAGGGGAUUAGUAAAAAGAUAACUUCAACAGAAUGGAAGAGAUUGAGUCACUUUAAACUAAUACGGCGUUGAAUUACAUAAAAAUUAAUAUUCAAAGGAUUUUCACUUAGAUGCUUAAUCAUAUAUUGUGAAUUAAUUUCUCAAUCUAUGGUAUUGGUAUAUUGGAGGAUACCAAAAAGAAAUAAAAACAUUAUCCCUUACAAAAUCAGUUUAAAAGAGUACCACAAAAAUAUACGAAGCUAUUUACCACAAAGUAUGAAAACGUCUCUCUGCCAAAGAUAGCAAUAUACCAAUAGCAUUAAAUGCUUCCUAAAGUGUAAAGACAACAUGUCAUUAUCAAACUGCAAAUCGUGAUUGAAUUUUCCUUUUACACAUUUUUUAUAAUCGAGAUUGAAUUUUCUACAAGUUGAAUUUAAUACUCACGUGUGGAACUUAGGUAGGGCUACUAUUGUUUGUCUGCUAAUUUGUCCCAUUAUAUUUACUUCAUUCUUACCCAAAAAAGACCACUUUAACGUUUUUCGAUUCCCUCUCAUGUUAAAAAAUAAUAUUUUCUUUGACUUGGUCGUAAACCCUAUUUUUUAAUUUUUUUUUACAUACCCUUUCAACUUUUUAGGAAAAUUAAAAUUUUAUAAUAUAUUUUACUUGCAAUAUGCACAAAUACUUAGAAAUGUCUUCAGUUCAUACUUUCCACUGAUGCCAAUUUCUAUAGCAUUUUAAAUUGCAUUUCAUAAUAGCAAUAUUAAAAUUUAGAGAGAUUUCAUAAUAAUAUUAUCUGGGAUGUAACAACAUAACAAAAAUAUAUAUCUGUUUUUCACUUUUAAUAUGUAUAUAGACUUUGGGCCAAGCCAUAUGAAAUCUGACGAAGUAUACAUGAAAAAAGUAGUACUAGUAGUACUCAAAUUCCCCACGUAGUCUUAAAUUCAACUAUCGAUAGCUAGAUAUUUCUUACGUUAGGUAUUUUAAUUGAUUUUUGGAUGAUCUUCUACACGUUACUACUCACUAUCAAUAGUUAGAUAGAAAUUUCAAUACAGAUUUGGUAUAAUAAACGAAUUUAUUCAUGCUUGAAAUUUCUGGAUAAUUAAGCACACACAAACUAUAACAAAAUUCUUCACACCAGCUAAUUAGAAAAGGACUGAAAAGUCUGAUAAAUCAUCAAGAUUCAAAACAAUAUAGAUAGCUAAACAUAGAAAACCACACGUAAAUUAUAAGAAAGUUCUUCACGUGGGAAAUUUAAUACUAACGUGUUGACCAGAAAAACCCUACGCUAAACUCAGAGUGAGAACUGGAACUGGAGGAUGCUGCCACUCUUAUUGACAACCCUUUAGCUUUCACCGCUUUCAUGUCAACACCGGAUCUAACCAAGUAGAUCAACCGUGUAGAAUUAAUUAAAGUCCACAUUAAACAAUGACUUUGUGGAAUAUAUUUGUUGAUUAUGUAACAAGCAAAAGUGUAGAGAGAAAAUUUGUUUUGUAGAAGUUUUUUUUUAUUCAUCAAUAAUGUAUAUAAUUUAUAUGAAAAAGAAAACUGAUGCGGGAAAAAUAAAUUCCUACAUGAAUAGCAUAAUAAGUCACAUAAGUGCUCCAACAUUGUAGGUGAAAUAUUUUUAACAGUCAUAUUAGAUCUUUAUUGCCUAAUAAACAUAAUAUAUUGACUAUUUAUUGCCUAAUGAAUAGAAACAUAAUAGCUUAUGAGUCAUACUAAUCAACAUUCCUCCUUGACUCUCGAGUUGUAAACUACAAGUUUUUGCAAUAUACUUAUUCUUAGAACCUUCAAAAUAGUACUUGGUUAUGUAAGUCCAUUUGACUCCUAUACCUUUCUUAUGCUUAGGCAUCUCUACCAAUCCACAUGUCUCAUUUUUUUAAUCAUCAUGAACUCCUCUUCAUUGCAUCUAUCAAUUCCUGGUCAAUUUUAGAUUCUUCAUAUCUUACAACAUUUGAUCGUGUACUCACAGGUCCUAUAACAUUGUGUAUUAGUUGCAGCUUGUGUGUCGCCUUCCAUGUCUUUUUUUGCGGAAAAAGAAACCUUGUUUGCUUCCCAUAUCAACAGACAAUACAUGUAGGAGACUUUGUUUCUAUUUGUUCAUUGUGUACUACAACUUGCUCAUCUUUCAUCAAAUCCAAGACAAAACUUUUGUCUUUCAUUUGAACUUUGAACACCUCUCUGCCUUCGAAUCUUUAAUCAUGCAAUGUUUGUCUUCAAACAAAACCUUAUAGUCUUUCUUCAUCAACUGAGGAACAUUUAACAAGUUGUG
This 3148-nucleotide long non-coding RNA is filed under the name Lupinus angustifolius (narrow-leaved blue lupine). RNAcentral's name for it is "long non-coding RNA (LANG_LNC002834)". The record is from RNAcentral. Lineage: Eukaryota; Viridiplantae; Streptophyta; Magnoliopsida; Fabales; Fabaceae.